RNAcentral lists this unclassified non-coding RNA (395 nucleotides) under Hevea brasiliensis (rubber tree). The record is from RNAcentral. Lineage: Eukaryota; Viridiplantae; Streptophyta; Magnoliopsida; Malpighiales; Euphorbiaceae.
CGAGUAUAUUGCAAGUUGAUGGUAAGUAAAUCGAUAUCAUUACAUUGACAGAUAACCAGAUCAUUGUACAAUUGAAAUUAGUGCACGUUAUUACAAGGUCUCUUCAUCUGGAAGUGUGCAUCCUUCAUAAUAAAUUAGAAACAUCACAGGUCACGGCUAAUCAUUGUAUGAUUAGUCUAGAAAUACUAAUCUAUUCACAUUAUACAUUCUAUGAGCCUUUCAGCAUACAAGCUGAAUUGCCCCAGCAAUGAAAGUUGGAAAGAUAACUUGCCUACAACAUGUGUCACUGCUUAGAAUGCAAGUCUAUCGGUUCAACAAAUCGAGAUCUCCGCCUUCUCUUACCCUCAGGAGUGCACCUUACACCACUAACCUUCCCAAGCUUCACAGAAAACUUG